GGGUUGUGAGGUUAAGCGACUAAGCGUACACGGUGGAUGCCCUGGCAGUCAGAGGCGAUGAAGGACGUGCUAAUCUGCGAUAAGCGUCGGUAAGGUGAUAUGAACCGUUAUAACCGGCGAUUUCCGAAUGGGGAAACCCAGUGUGAUUCGUCACACUAUCAUUAACUGAAUCCAUAGGUUAAUGAGGCGAACCGGGGGAACUGAAACAUCUAAGUACCCCGAGGAAAAGAAAUCAACCGAGAUUCCCCCAGUAGCGGCGAGCGAACGGGGAGCAGCCCAGAGCCUGAAUCAGUGUGUGUGUUAGUGGAAGCGUCUGGAAAGGCGCGCGAUACAGGGUGACAGCCCCGUACACAAAAAUGCACAUAUUGUGAGCUCGAUGAGUAGGGCGGGACACGUGGUAUCCUGUCUGAAUAUGGGGGGCCCAUCCUCCAAGGCUAAAUACUCCUGACUGACCGAUAGUGAACCAGUACCGUGAGGGAAAGGCGAAAAGAACCCCGGCGAGGGGGAGUGAAAAAGAACCUGAAACCGUGUACGUACAAGCAGUGGGAGCACGCUUAGGCGUGUGACUGCGUACCUUUUGUAUAAUGGGUCAGCGACUUAUAUUCUGUAGCAAGGUUAACCGAAUAGGGGAGCCGAAGGGAAACCGAGUCUUAACUGGGCGUUAAGUUGCAGGGUAUAGACCCGAAACCCGGUGAUCUAGCCAUGGGCAGGUUGAAGGUUGGGUAACACUAACUGGAGGACCGAACCGACUAAUGUUGAAAAAUUAGCGGAUGACUUGUGGCUGGGGGUGAAAGGCCAAUCAAACCGGGAGAUAGCUGGUUCUCCCCGAAAGCUAUUUAGGUAGCGCCUCGUGAAUUCAUCUCCGGGGGUAGAGCACUGUUUCGGCAAGGGGGUCAUCCCGACUUACCAACCCGAUGCAAACUGCGAAUACCGGAGAAUGUUAUCACGGGAGACACACGGCGGGUGCUAACGUCCGUCGUGAAGAGGGAAACAACCCAGACCGCCAGCUAAGGUCCCAAAGUCAUGGUUAAGUGGGAAACGAUGUGGGAAGGCCCAGACAGCCAGGAUGUUGGCUUAGAAGCAGCCAUCAUUUAAAGAAAGCGUAAUAGCUCACUGGUCGAGUCGGCCUGCGCGGAAGAUGUAACGGGGCUAAACCAUGCACCGAAGCUGCGGCAGCGACGCUUAUGCGUUGUUGGGUAGGGGAGCGUUCUGUAAGCCUGCGAAGGUGUGCUGUGAGGCAUGCUGGAGGUAUCAGAAGUGCGAAUGCUGACAUAAGUAACGAUAAAGCGGGUGAAAAGCCCGCUCGCCGGAAGACCAAGGGUUCCUGUCCAACGUUAAUCGGGGCAGGGUGAGUCGACCCCUAAGGCGAGGCCGAAAGGCGUAGUCGAUGGGAAACAGGUUAAUAUUCCUGUACUUGGUGUUACUGUGAAGGGGGGACGGAGAAGGCUAUGUUGGCCGGGCGACGGUUGUCCCGGUUUAAGCGUGUAGGCUGGUUUUCCAGGCAAAUCCGGAAAAUCAAGGCUGAGGCGUGAUGACGAGGCACUACGGUGCUGAAGCAACAAAUGCCCUGCUUCCAGGAAAAGCCUCUAAGCAUCAGGUAACAUCAAAUCGUACCCCAAACCGACACAGGUGGUCAGGUAGAGAAUACCAAGGCGCUUGAGAGAACUCGGGUGAAGGAACUAGGCAAAAUGGUGCCGUAACUUCGGGAGAAGGCACGCUGAUAUGUAGGUGAAGUCCCUUGCGGAUGGAGCUGAAAUCAGUCGAAGAUACCAGCUGGCUGCAACUGUUUAUUAAAAACACAGCACUGUGCAAACACGAAAGUGGACGUAUACGGUGUGACGCCUGCCCGGUGCCGGAAGGUUAAUUGAUGGGGUCAGCGCAAGCGAAGCUCUUGAUCGAAGCCCCGGUAAACGGCGGCCGUAACUAUAACGGUCCUAAGGUAGCGAAAUUCCUUGUCGGGUAAGUUCCGACCUGCACGAAUGGCGUAAUGAUGGCCAGGCUGUCUCCACCCGAGACUCAGUGAAAUUGAACUCGCUGUGAAGAUGCAGUGUACCCGCGGCAAGACGGAAAGACCCCGUGAACCUUUACUAUAGCUUGACACUGAACAUUGAGCCUUGAUGUGUAGGAUAGGUGGGAGGCUUUGAAGUGUGGACGCCAGUCUGCAUGGAGCCGGCCUUGAAAUACCACCCUUUAAUGUUUGAUGUUCUAACGUGGACCCGUGAUCCGGGUUGCGGACAGUGUCUGGUGGGUAGUUUGACUGGGGCGGUCUCCUCCUAAAGAGUAACGGAGGAGCACGAAGGUUGGCUAAUCCUGGUCGGACAUCAGGAGGUUAGUGCAAUGGCAUAAGCCAGCUUGACUGCGAGCGUGACGGCGCGAGCAGGUGCGAAAGCAGGUCAUAGUGAUCCGGUGGUUCUGAAUGGAAGGGCCAUCGCUCAACGGAUAAAAGGUACUCCGGGGAUAACAGGCUGAUACCGCCCAAGAGUUCAUAUCGACGGCGGUGUUUGGCACCUCGAUGUCGGCUCAUCACAUCCUGGGGCUGAAGUAGGUCCCAAGGGUAUGGCUGUUCGCCAUUUAAAGUGGUACGCGAGCUGGGUUUAGAACGUCGUGAGACAGUUCGGUCCCUAUCUGCCGUGGGCGCUGGAGAACUGAGGGGGGCUGCUCCUAGUACGAGAGGACCGGAGUGGACGCAUCACUGGUGUUCGGGUUGUCAUGCCAAUGGCACUGCCCGGUAGCUAAAUGCGGAAGAGAUAAGUGCUGAAAGCAUCUAAGCACGAAACUUGCCCCGAGAUGAGUUCUCCCUGACCCUUUAAGGGUCCUGAAGGAACGUUGAAGACGACGACGUUGAUAGGCCGGGUGUGUAAGCGCAGCGAUGCGUUGAGCUAACCGGUACUAAUGAACCGUGAGGCUUAACCUUACAACGCCGAAG
RNAcentral lists this ribosomal RNA (2926 nucleotides) under Shigella sonnei. RNAcentral's name for it is "23S ribosomal RNA". It matches the Rfam family "Bacterial large subunit ribosomal RNA". Lineage: Bacteria; Pseudomonadati; Pseudomonadota; Gammaproteobacteria; Enterobacterales; Enterobacteriaceae. The record is from RNAcentral.